UGGGGAAUAUUGCACAAUGGAGGGAACUCUGAUGCAGCGACGCCGCGUGAACGAAGAAGGCUUUCGAGUCGUAAAGUUCUUUUAUAUGGGAAGAUAAUGACGGUACCAUAAGAAAAAGCCCCGGCUAACUACGUGCCAGCAGCCGCGGUAAUACGUAGGGGGCUAGCGUUGUCCGGAAUCACUGGGCGUAAAGGGUUCGCAGGCGGAAAUGCAAGUCAGGUGUAAAAGGCAGUAGCUUAACUACUGUAAGCAUUUGAAACUGCAUAUCUUGAAAAGAGUAGAGGUAAGUGGAAUUUUUAGUGUAGCGGUGAAAUGCGUAGAUAUUAAAAAGAAUACCGGUGGCGAAGGCGACUUACUGGGCUCAUUCUGACGCUGAGGAACGAAAGCGUGGGUAGCAAACAGG
RNAcentral lists this ribosomal RNA (403 nucleotides) under bacterium. Its description in RNAcentral is "partial 16S ribosomal RNA". It matches the Rfam family "Bacterial small subunit ribosomal RNA", at positions 355 to 776 of the family's 1533-position model. The record is from RNAcentral. RNAcentral also lists the same sequence under 1 other name.